Molecule: long non-coding RNA, 1315 nt
Filed under: Vitis vinifera (wine grape)
Lineage: Eukaryota; Viridiplantae; Streptophyta; Magnoliopsida; Vitales; Vitaceae
Description: long non-coding RNA (VVIN_LNC001605)
Source: RNAcentral
CUACUCGGAUGCCAUUGGCUUAGAGACCUGUGAGUUUUCCUGCUUCAUCCAAUCCUCUGUCAACACAUGAUCAAGCUCUCCAAAUAGUAGGUUCUAGAACUCCCCAGAAUGAACCUAGUAAAGCCAGUGAAACCAAACACCCAAGUCAAGUCCAGUCAAGCUCUUUAUUCUGUACUGGAGAGGAAUUCGGAACCACCCAAGAAAUAUCAUCUCCCAUCCUAAAUAUCAAGAUUACCCUUGUAGAUCAAGUGUGUGCCACCCCACCCACUUCCCUCCCUGCUCUCAGAAGAAGAUUCUAGAUUGCUUCAGUGCCUCUUUACUUAAUCCCUCUCACUCACAUUCAACUUCACCAAGCUCAGAUCUGAGAGGAAAAACAGAGUGAAGGGUAGAAGUGUAGUGUGUGUGUCUGAUUAGCAAUGGCGGGAGGGGGAGGGGGAGAGGGAGAGGGAGGCCCAGCAAAAGAGAGCAUUUUUGUGAGUGUUUCGAACAAGAUAGAUGAAGCUUACAAUUGGGUGAAAGCCAAACUGAAUUCACUCUUCAAGCUCUUCUCUGAGUCCAUCACUGAAGCUCUUCUGGGGCUCAGAUCUUUUGUCACAUCUUGCUGUGAAAAACUCAGGGAAGUGCUUUCAGGGAUCAACACCCAGCUGGACAACUUGUCUGGGAAGAAAAUGGUGGUUGGGAUGGUUCCUGAGGAGAGUUGUCUUCAGGGUGAGAUGAAGAUGCUGGUUCAGAAGAUGAGGGCGUCGGUGGAACAAUGGUCGGGGGUUGGGAACAGCCCUGAAAUGAAGGCUGCACACCUGACAUCGAAUUGGUUUCUUGAUUUGGUUGAAGGGUUCAUUGAGUUGUUGGAGUAUGCCUACAAGCAGCCUUUGACCCUCAUACCUGUUCUUCUUGAAGGCUAUUUUAUAUACCGAAGCAGUUACAAGAAGGCUGGUGGAGUGAGGAGAGCUAUGAGGGGUCAAGGGAAAGCUGCCAUGACCAUUUUUACUCUAAUAAAUUUGAUUGUAUCAUCAACUAUCCUCUUCUAGUUUAGGGUGAGGUUUAUGUAGGGUUCAUGUGAAGCUGAGCUUUUGUUAGGAUGUCUGAAGUUGUCCCUUCCUGUGUUGUGUCAUGUGUGUUGAUGACUGUAAAAAUUACUACUAUAUUAUAAUAAAUUGUAAUACAUCUCUGAUGUCUUUUCAUAUUGAUCUGGAUGGACUGAGUUGUGUUCUUAUUGCCAUUUGUGUCUCAAGUGGCUUGUUGAGUUGAGAUCAAAUUGGUGAUCAAUUUGGGUUGAGGAAUGGGGAUCUCACAUGGUAAUGAAAAGAAAAAGUUG